Molecule: ribosomal RNA, 497 nt
Filed under: uncultured bacterium
Lineage: Bacteria
Description: partial 16S ribosomal RNA
Rfam family: Bacterial small subunit ribosomal RNA
Source: RNAcentral
GAUGAACGCUGGCGGCGUGCCUAAUACAUGCCAGUCGAGCGAACGGACGAGAAGCUUGCUUCUCUGAUGUUAGCGGCGGACGGGUGAGUAACACGUGGAUAACCUACCUAUAAGACUGGGAUAACUUCGGGAAACCGGAGCUAAUACCGGAUAAUAUUUUGAACCGCAUGGUUCAAAAGUGAAAGACGGUCUUGCUGUCACUUAUAGAUGGAUCCGCGCUGCAUUAGCUAGUUGGUAAGGUAACGGCUUACCAAGGCAACGAUGCAUAGCCGACCUGUGAGGGUGAUCGGCCACACUGGACCUGAGACACGGUCCAGACUCCUCCGGGAGGCAGCAGUAGGGAAUCUUCCGCAAUGGGCGAAAGCCUGACGGAGCCACGCCGCGUGAGUGAUGAAGGUCUUCGGAUCGUAAAACUCUGUUAUUAGGGAAGAACAUAUGUGUAAGUAACUGUGCACAUCUUGACGGUACCUAAUCAGAAAGCCACGGCUAACUACGUG